CGCCUGUUUAUCAAAAACAUCUCUUCUCGUUAGUUUUUGAAGUAUGGCCUGCCCACUGACCUUGAAUGUUGAAGGGCCGCGGUAUUUUGACCGUGCAAAGGUAGCAUAGUCAUUAGUUCUUUAAUUGUGAUCUGGUAUGAAUGGCUUGACGAGGCAUAAGCUGUCUUAAUUUUGAAUUGUUUAUUGAAUUUGUUCUUUGAGUUAAAAUUCUUAGAUGUUUUUAUGGGACGAGAAGACCCUAUAGAGUUUGACAUUUAUUAUGGUCUCUUUUUGUUUGUGAGGGUUCACUAGGGCUGUUUAAUAUGUUUUGUUGGGGUGAUGGGAGGGAUAUUAUUUAACCCCUCCUUUGUGUUGUUAUAUUUAUUUAUAUUUGCUUGAUCCAUUUAUUUUGAUUGUAAGAUUAAAUUACCUUAGGGAUAACAGCGUAA
RNAcentral lists this ribosomal RNA (428 nucleotides) under Reticulitermes flavipes (eastern subterranean termite). Its description in RNAcentral is "partial 16S ribosomal RNA". The stretch from base 1 to 214 matches the Rfam family "Archaeal large subunit ribosomal RNA", at positions 1889 to 2143 of the family's 2987-position model. The record is from RNAcentral. Lineage: Eukaryota; Metazoa; Arthropoda; Insecta; Blattodea; Rhinotermitidae.